This 539-nucleotide ribosomal RNA is filed under the name uncultured bacterium. RNAcentral describes it as "bacterial SSU rRNA". It matches the Rfam family "Bacterial small subunit ribosomal RNA", at positions 355 to 895 of the family's 1533-position model. The record is from RNAcentral.
UGAGGAAUAUUGGUCAAUGGACGGAAGUCUGAACCAGCCAAGUAGCGUGCAGGAUGACGGCCCUAUGGGUUGUAAACUGCUUUUGUAUGGGGAUAAAGUUAGGGACGUGUCCCUAUUUGCAGGUACCAUACGGAUAAGGACCGGCUAAUUCCGUGCCAGCAGCCGCGGUAAUACGGAAGGUCCAGGCGUUAUCCGGAUUUAUUGGGUUUAAAGGGAGCGUAGGCUGGAGAUUAAGUGUGUUGUGAAAUGUAGACGCUCAACGUCUGAAUUGCAGCGCAUACUGGUUUCCUUGAGUACGCACAACGUUGGCGGAAUUCGUCGUGUAGCGGUGAAAUGCUUAGAUAUGACGAAGAACUCCGGUUGCGAAGGCAGCUGACGGGAGCGCAACUGACGCUUAAGCUCGAAGGUGCGGGUAUCAAACAGGAUUAGAUACCCUGGUAGUCCGCACAGUAAACGAUGGAUGCCCGCUGUUGGUACCUGGUAUCAGCGGCUAAGCGAAAGCAUUAAGCAUCCCACCUGGGGAGUACGCCGGCAACGGU